GACGAACGCUGGCGGCGUGCUUAACACAUGCAAGUCGAACGGAAAGGCCCUGCUUUUGCGGGGUGCUCGAGUGGCGAAAGGGUGAGUAACACGUGAGUAACCUGCCCUUGACUUUGGGAUAACUUCAGGAAACUGGGGCUAAUACCGGAUAGGAGCUCCUGCUGCAUGGUGGGGGUUGGAAAGUUUCGGCGGUUGGGGAUGGACUCGCGGCUUAUCAGCUUGCUGGUGGGGUAGUGGCUUACCAAGGCUUUGACGGGUAGCGGGCCUGGGAGGGUGACCGGCCACGUUGGGACUGGGAUGCGGCCCAGACUCCUACGGGAGGCAGCGGUGGGGAAUAUUGCACAAUGGGCGGAAGCCUGAUGCAGCAACGCCGCGUGCGGGAUGACGGCCUGCGGGUUGUAAACCGCUUUCGCCUGUGACGAAGCGUUAGUGACGGUAAUGGGUAAAGAAGCACCGGCUAACUACGUG
Molecule: ribosomal RNA, 468 nt
Filed under: uncultured bacterium
Lineage: Bacteria
Description: partial 16S ribosomal RNA
Rfam family: Bacterial small subunit ribosomal RNA
Source: RNAcentral